GACGAACGCUGGCGGCGUGCCUAAUACAUGCAAGUCGAACGCAGUGGGGACGGGUGAGUAACACGUGGGUAACCUCCCAUCAGAGGGGAUAACACUUGGAAACAGGUGCUAAACCGAUACUGAUGGAUGGACCCGCGGUGCAUUAGCUAGUUGGUGAGGUAACGGCUCACCAAGGCCACGAUGCCUCGCCGAACCGGAAGGGGGAUCGGCCACACUGGGACUGGGACACGGCCCAGACUCCUACGGGAGGCAGCAGUAGGGAAUCUUCGGCAAUGGACGGAAGUCUGACCGAGCAACGCCGCGGGAGUGAAGAAGGUUUUCGGAUCGGAAAGCUCUGUUGUAAGAGAAGCGGUAUCUUACCAGAAAGGGACGGCUAACUACGUGCCAGCAGCCGCGGUAAUAC
This 403-nucleotide ribosomal RNA is filed under the name uncultured bacterium. RNAcentral describes it as "partial 16S ribosomal RNA". It matches the Rfam family "Bacterial small subunit ribosomal RNA", at positions 28 to 526 of the family's 1533-position model. The record is from RNAcentral.